GACGAACGCUGGCGGCGUGCUUAACACAUGCAAGUCGAACGGAAAGGCCCUGCUUUUGUGGGGUGCUCGAGUGGCGAACGGGUGAGUAACACGUGAGUAACCUGCCCUUGACUUUGGGAUAACUUCAGGAAACUGGGGCUAAUACCGGAUAGGAGCUCCUGCUGCAUGGUGGGGGUUGGAAAGUUUCGGCGGGUGGGGAUGGACUCGCGGCUUAUCAGCUUGUUGGUGGGGUAGUGGCUUACCAAGGCUGUGACGGGUAGCCGGCCUGAGAGGGUGACCGGCCACAUUGGGACUGAGAUACGGCCCAGACUGCUACGGGAGGCAGCAGUGGGGAAUAUUGCCCAAUGGGCGGAAGCCUGAUGCAGCAACGCCGCGUGCGGGAUGACGGCCUUCGGGGUGUAAACCGCUUUCGCCUGUGACGAAGCGGGAGUGACGGUAAUGGGUAAAGAAGCACCGGCUAACUACGUG
Molecule: ribosomal RNA, 468 nt
Filed under: uncultured bacterium
Lineage: Bacteria
Description: partial 16S ribosomal RNA
Rfam family: Bacterial small subunit ribosomal RNA
Source: RNAcentral